GAUGGUAUAGCUCAGUGAUAAAGCAUGUGCUUAGCAUGCAUGAGGUCCUGGGUUCAAUCCCCAGUACCUCCA
Transfer RNA from Camelus ferus (Wild Bactrian camel), 72 nucleotides. It matches the Rfam family "tRNA". From Rfam's summary of the family: Transfer RNA (tRNA) molecules are approximately 80 nucleotides in length. NCBI's taxonomy places the organism in Eukaryota, Metazoa, Chordata, Mammalia, Artiodactyla, Camelidae. The record is from Rfam.